Molecule: ribosomal RNA, 375 nt
Filed under: uncultured bacterium
Lineage: Bacteria
Description: bacterial SSU rRNA
Rfam family: Bacterial small subunit ribosomal RNA
Source: RNAcentral
AUACGUAGGUGGCAAGCGUUGUCCGGAUUUACUGGGCGUAAAGGAUGCGUAGGCGGAUAUUUAAGUGAGAUGUGAAAUUCCCGAGCUUAACUUGGGAGCUGCAUUUCAAACUGGAUAUCUAGAGUGCGGGAGAGGAGAAUGGAAUUCCUAGUGUAGCGGUGAAAUGCGUAGAGAUUAGGAAGAACACCAGUGGCGAAGGCGAUUCUCUGGACCGUAACUGACGCUGAGGCAUGAAAGCGUGGGUAGCAAACAGGAUUAGAUACCCUGGUAGUCCACGCCGUAAACGAUGAGUACUAGGUGUAGGAGGGUCCAACCUUCUGUGCCGCAGUUAACACAAUAAGUACUCCGCCUGGGAAGUACGAUCGCAAGAUUAAA